This 379-nucleotide ribosomal RNA is filed under the name marine Metazoa environmental sample. Its description in RNAcentral is "SSU rRNA". It matches the Rfam family "Eukaryotic small subunit ribosomal RNA", at positions 587 to 972 of the family's 1831-position model. Lineage: Eukaryota; Metazoa. The record is from RNAcentral.
AGCUCCAAUAGCGUAUAUUAAAGUUGUUGCAGUUAAAAAGCUCGUAGUUGGAUUUCGGAGUGGGCCAGUUGGUCCGCCGCAAGGUGUGUUACUGACCGGUUUGCUCUUCUUCGCAAAGACUGCGUGUGCUCUUUGUUGAGUGUGCGUAGGAUUUACGACGUUUACUUUGAAAAAAUUAGAGUGUUCAAAGCAGGCUAUUGCUUGAAUACAUGAGCAUGGAAUAAUGGAAUAGGACUUUGGUCCCCUUUUGGUGGUUUCUAGGACCGAAGUAAUGAUUUAGGGGGAAAGUUGGGGGGAUUCGUAUUUCGUUGUCAGAGGUGAAAUUCUUGGAUUUACGAAAGACGAACAACUGCGAAAGCAUUUGCCAAGAAUGUUUUCA